Molecule: long non-coding RNA, 1815 nt
Organism: Pezoporus occidentalis (night parrot)
Lineage: Eukaryota; Metazoa; Chordata; Aves; Psittaciformes; Psittacidae
Exons: 3
Source: RefSeq, a predicted model, not a curated record
CAAGUGCAAACUGCUGCUGAAAAGAAGUCCCUCUCCUGCCUUUCUUUCCCUCCCAGCCAGACCUCUGCCAGCAGCAUGGGACCUCGAGGUCCCUGGCAGAGGACCCAGUGCUCUGCCUCCCUUUGCCUACCUGACUGUUUUCUGUUGAACCAACUGAUUAAUCCAGCUCACCUUGCAGCUGCACAAUCAUUAGGUCUGCUGGAGGAAAGGCAGAGUGAACACGUGGCCAGCUAGUGGAGUGUUCCUGCUUCUGGGCACUGAAGCAAUCUCAGCAAGGGCACAGAUAUUGAGAACUGUGUUAAAGAGUAUCAGAGUACAACUUUGAAGAAAAUUAUAAAACCAGCUGAUGCAUCUCCCACAGAAGAGUUUAACUGCUCGCCAUCUCCACUGUGAAUACUGUCAGGAUGCUGCCAGCACUAACCACUCUUAAUUGUCCUGACCAGCCUUACCUGGUACCCCCUCCCUGAACUCCCCUGCCCCAGUUCUCUGACAGGGCUUCCCAGAUGGACUCAGGUUCACACUGCUGCCUUGUCUUCAACUGCAUCUUCAGCUUUGUCUCCUGUCUUAUCUCCUGCUGCCCUGGAUGGAGCUGGCCCUGGCUCACCCUAUCUCAUCUCUUGUGUCUGGGGCUGCUGACAGACACCGUUACCAGACCCUGGCUCUGCUGGCCCUGCUUGUGUGCUACAUGCAACACUGCACCCUGGUUGGCGAGGGCAUUGCCAGUGCUGGAGUCACCCCUGGCUCCUGGCUCAUCCUUCCUUGGGGAGCAGCCCCACUGUCACUCUUCCCUGACAAACAGGACAAAAGUUUAUUGAAAUUGCAGCAAGACAAAUUUAGGAUAACCAUAAGGAAAUCUUCCCAACUGUAACCUGUUCUUAAGGACCAUUCCAGUCCUGAUUUCCAUGAACCUGUGAGAUGCCUGCAAUAGCCAAUGACUGAAGUUAAACUCAAUGUUUAUGAAGCUUUUUAUUUUUUUUUCUCGUGUGUGGCUCCAGGGUAUAUUUGCAUGGUUCUUCACUCUUACAACUCACACUUCCUCUUCAACACUCAGUAGAAUUGCUUUGUGACAGACCUGUAACUGAUCUUACAAUAAAAUUUCAGUUAGAUGUCAACUUUGACACCAGUGGUGGUUCCACUAAUAAAGUAGCUUCCCUUUAGCUCUUCUCAUGCAGAAGAACAACUGGAUCUGCAGACAAUCCUGAUGCUACUACGUAUAUCUUGAAUCUUUUCUAUCUGCCAGUAAGGUAUAUUCUGACCAUCUUCAGGAAAAGGAGACCAGAUAAGCCCAUGUGGGAUUCCUAAAAUAUCUGUAACAUUCCAGAGUAACAGAUUUUGCAAUUUUGCAAAAUACCACUGCCAGCUUUCCUCUACAAUACAUUUUGUAUGAGGCAUAAAUAAAUUCUUUUGAUAUUGAGAUGCCCAGCUGGGGUGUCUCAGGCCUCAGCUUGUGUGACACAGCACCAUGGCAUCAACAUGACGGCUGCCUCUGGAUAAACAUGUUAAUUUAAAAUAAUCAUAAGCAUAAACUGCAAAAUAAAUGAGCUAGCUUUGUAUCUGCAAUGGAAAUCAACUAGGGCACACAAGAGCUUUUGCUUUGAUGUUUUAACAUAUUUGUGUAAUAGCUGUUUUGAUGUUUGCCUGAGACAUGCCUCCAGAUUCUUCCUGUCAUGUAUUAGGAAGGUGAAUGCAAAGUGUAACAGCUGCCUCUUUCUUUCUCCUCCUUCACUUGACUGUUAAGUCUUUCAUCAUGUAUUAGCACAAGGAAAGUGACCCGAAAGAUAUAUUACUUCAACUAAAGAAGUCAUGUAAAAGCAA